RNAcentral lists this long non-coding RNA (542 nucleotides) under Anser cygnoides (Swan goose). Its description in RNAcentral is "lncRNA (ENSACDG00005007990.1)". Lineage: Eukaryota; Metazoa; Chordata; Aves; Anseriformes; Anatidae. The record is from RNAcentral.
CGAGGCCUUGUUCAGGCAGAUGAUGAUAUUAUCGUCUCAAACUGGUGCUGGCGAAACUGACACCUUGCUCAGCAGCAGAGGGCCAAAGGAGCAUGCACCAAAGACGCUUUGCUCUUAUGCUGAAGUAACCAGCACAGUAUGAGUCAUGCCUGAUGAAGAUCCAGAGACUUCUUCCUGAAAUGAUAAAUGAAGUUACUUCUAGGAAGGGGAGUUACUGCAGUGACAGAGCUGUUCUGUAUCCUUUUUUUAUAUGAGGAAGAUCUGUUGUGAUUUAGAAGAGGAAAUUUUAAGACAAUAAUCUAAAAAACUCUAUUCAUUCUGCCAGCUUCCCUAUAAUUACUGCUAAUUGCAUUGUUUUAGAAAUUGAUGGAGCAUUAUAAGAAAGAGAAGCAGAGAAGGAAAACAUCAUCUUCAGCAAAGCUGUUGGAAUGAAAAUACUGUCUGCCUACAUGGCACAUGAGGCAGUGCACGAGUGCCUGCAGCAGUCUAGCACUUAGAGGACACACUGUCACCUACUGAAUUAGUCAAAUUACCAUUGUUCU